GUGAAAAUACUGUUUCGUCGUACGAUCACCGAAGUUAAGCAACGUCGAGCCUAGUCAGAAUACCUAGAUGGGUGACCGCUUGGGAAUACCAGGUGCUGUA
Molecule: non-coding RNA, 100 nt
Organism: Acanthosepion pharaonis
Lineage: Eukaryota; Metazoa; Mollusca; Cephalopoda; Sepiida; Sepiidae
Source: the annotation of a GenBank genome assembly